Molecule: ribosomal RNA, 251 nt
Filed under: uncultured prokaryote
Description: partial 16S rRNA
Rfam family: Bacterial small subunit ribosomal RNA
Source: RNAcentral
ACGGAGGGUGCAAGCGUUAUCCGGAUUCACUGGGUUUAAAGGGUGCGUAGGCGGGAAUGUAAGUCAGUGGUGAAAUCUCGGAGCUUAACUCCGAAACUGCCAUUGAUACUAUGUUUCUUGAAUAUUGUGGAGGUGAGCGGAAUAUGUCAUGUAGCGGUGAAAUGCUUAGAUAUGACAUAGAACACCGAUUGCGAAGGCAGCUCGCUACACAAAUAUUGACGCUGAGGCACGAAAGCGUGGGGAUCAAACAG